AGCAGCCGCGGUAAUUCCAGCUCCAAUAGCGUAUAUUAAAGUUGUUGCAGUUAAAAAGCUCGUAGUUGAAUUUCGGGAUCAGUACGCCGGUCGUGCCUUCGGUAUGCACUGGUGUCACUGGUUUCUCCCUUCUGAAGAACCAUCAUGCCAUUCAGUUGGUGUGGCGGGGAAUCAGGACUGUUACUUUGAAAAAAUUAGAGUGUUUAAAGCAGGCUCGCGCUUGAAUACAUUAGCAUGGAAUAAUGAAAUAGGACGUUUGACCCUAUUUUGUUGGUUUCUAGGAUCGACGUAAUGAUUAAUAGGGAUAGUUGGGGGCAUUAGUAUUCAAUUGUCAGAGGUGAAAUUCUUGGAUUUAUUGAAGACUAACUACUGCGAAAGCAUUUGCCAAGGAUGUUUUCAUUAAUCAAGAACGAAAGUUAGGGGAUCGAAGACGAUCAGAUACCGUCGUAGUCUUAACCAUAAACUAUGCCGACUAGGGAUCGGAUGAUGUUAAUUUUUUAAUGACUCA
RNAcentral lists this ribosomal RNA (508 nucleotides) under Glomus sp. Glo7. RNAcentral's name for it is "SSU rRNA". It matches the Rfam family "Eukaryotic small subunit ribosomal RNA", at positions 569 to 1078 of the family's 1831-position model. RNAcentral also lists the same sequence under 1 other name. Lineage: Eukaryota; Fungi; Glomeromycota; Glomeromycetes; Glomerales; Glomeraceae. The record is from RNAcentral.